This 528-nucleotide long non-coding RNA is filed under the name Numida meleagris (helmeted guineafowl). RNAcentral describes it as "lncRNA (ENSNMEG00000014879.1)". Lineage: Eukaryota; Metazoa; Chordata; Aves; Galliformes; Numididae. The record is from RNAcentral.
AGAAACUGUGUAGAAGUUGGAUUGAGAAGAGCUCUUUGGGAUAAAAAAACACCAAGAAUCCCAGAAGUUCCUCAGAAAAGCAGAGUUGGUCAAAAAGGCAUUUGUGGAGCUUCAGGCGGAACACAUGAGCUCUCACCAGUGGAUCUGCACUAUGUUCCUGGCUGGCCUGCUGCCUUCUCCGAGAGAUUUCGCAUUGUAUGUGUGCCUGUGACUCUGUAUGUCUGGGUGCCUCAUGACACUUUGCAGUAGAUUGACAGAAAACAGAAGCCAGGUUCAUCAAAGCCACAGAUUUCUGAUCCAGAAUUACAGUGUCUGAUUUGUGCCAGCACAGACCUAGACUGUCCAGAUAGACUGAACAGGAGGAAAAUAUAAUGCCAAAAAGGAAGAGGCUGAAAUCUAAUUAAUCAGAAACAAAUAAGUCAUCCUAAUGGCAAUGCAGAAGUAGUAUCAAUUUAAUUUGAGAGUACCCUAUGUUCCGUAAGGAUGACAUUGUGCAGUAAUUCUGCUGCCAGUAACUGCCGUUAGAAU